This is a non-coding RNA of Danio rerio (zebrafish), 368 nucleotides long. The record is from RefSeq and is a predicted model, not a curated record. NCBI's taxonomy places the organism in Eukaryota, Metazoa, Chordata, Actinopteri, Cypriniformes, Danionidae.
UGACCUCUGCUGGCCAGCGAGGGGAAUGACUGGGACCGAGUCGGUGACACUGUAAUUCUGGAGAAUUAUUUUUGAAACAUCCUGCAUUAUUCUGAGUAAUCAACUUUGUUUACAUCAAUACAAUAUAAGAUUCAAGUCAAAUCAGCUACCCCUGCUCAUUCAACACCAUACAGGUGUCACGUCAUUUAAAUCAUUAAACAAACGACUUCAUGAGUGCUGUUGUUAUUUUUUAUAUUGAAAAGCACAGGACAUAAUUAUAAUUCACUUUAAUAAAAACACUAAUUGUUCCUCUCUCUUGUAAAGGUGCAGCUUCAGAGACCUGUAAAUCCCCUCCUGUUGAUUACACAAACACCAGCCGUGAACUAAAG